CGAAAGCCUAUCUCAGUUCGGAUUGGAGGCUGAAACUCGCCUCCAUGAAGUUGGAUUCGCUAGUAAUCGCGCAUCAGCCAUGGCGCGGUGAAUACGUUCCCGGGCCUUGUACACACCGCCCGUCAAGCCAUGGGAGUUGGGGGUGCCUGAAGUUCGUGACCGAAAGGGAGCGACCUAGGGCAAAACCGAUGACUGGGGCUAAGUCGUAACAAGGUACC
Molecule: ribosomal RNA, 218 nt
Filed under: uncultured bacterium
Lineage: Bacteria
Description: partial 16S ribosomal RNA
Rfam family: Bacterial small subunit ribosomal RNA
Source: RNAcentral